UGGCAAUCACACUUCCUUCCUGCCCCUCGCCGGUUUGCCGCCUUUAUUACCUUUGCCUGAAAAUUAAACAUAAGAAGGGUGAGUAUAAAAAUACCCAGUAAGAGACCCUCUACUGGUCCCGUCAGGGGAAAAAUAAAUUGUUAACAUUCUAUUGGGACACCCUGUACAGUCGCAGUCUUGUGAUCCCGUAGGAUGCACAUUUCAGUCUAACGCCCGAGGACGUACAUUUCAGUGUAGUGUUCUGCAGAAACACAUAUCAGUCUAAUGCUCCCGAAGGUGCAGAAUAAUUGGUGAUCCCGUGGGACACCUACAAGGCACACAUCCCAAUAAAAGCUAACAAUUUUUCCCCUCAAUCCAUUCGUACCAUCUUUCAGUUACUUCAAAAUAUAAAGUUCUUUCACUCAACGUUCUAACAGUCAACUUAUCUCACUUUAGCCCAAUGUCUGUCAGUAACAUACUAAUACGUCAGUCAAUCAAACUAUAUAGUCAUAACGCCUCUCAGUUCACCAGCACACAGUCAUACUUUAGUAUAACGUACACCCAGUCUAAACGACAAUCACAAGUUCACAUCCGCAUCUCAUACAAACACAAUCUACAAUUGUCGUCCUGUCUACAUCCACACACAUAUAUAUAUAUUCCAAGACAAUCACAAUAUGCAUUCAACAUCAAGUCUACUUCAAUCCAUGUGUAUAUAUAUAUUUUCAGUCAUCCACAGUAUACAUUCAACACCGAACCUACAUCCAUACGUAUAUAUAUAUUGUCUCAACACAUUUACUCAAUCAGAGGUGACUAACAUUACAAUUCAAAAGCAUAGGUGAGUCCAGUAGAAAAUAAAAUCCCUUACCUCACUUUUAUGCAAGUUCUUCAAUCUACUAAAUCCAAUGAAUCAAAUCCUAAACAUAAUCAAUCAUAAAAUCAACAUCUUUCUAAAUAGUUUCAACCAUUCAAAUUACCCCAUAUGUAAAUUCCACAACUUACCCAAGAAGUGGAAAAUCAAGUCCACUUCAACCUUUUGGAAAAUCAAGGAUUCGCUCACUGAAUCAAGAUGUACCUUCAAGAAUUAAGCAUUUCGCCAACAAUUAAAUCCAAUGGCAGCAUUCAACAAAAACCAAGAAACCAACAAAAACCAUAACUUGUUCUUACCCAAAUAUGAGCCCAAUGGUUCACGGCGAGGCAAAAAUGACAAUCAAGAACGAAUCAAGCGGCUGUAAAUAGAGCAACACUGAAUGCGACUCAACUGGAAAAGAAAAUCGGCUUCAAAUCGUAACUCCGUCUUACAACGAGCAGAAGAACGUCGACUUGAUAGGGGACACGUAAUUUAGGAAGAGAUCGACUUGGAUCCGUGUAUGACUUCACGAGAUGUAUGCGUCGACGGCUUCACGGAGGUGAAGACAGACGCGGUCGGAGAGUCACGCGGCAGUGCAGAAAACGGAGGAGAAAGGAACGGGCGGCGGCUGGCUUGGCUUCGACGGAGACAGAGAUUGCGCAGCAGGGCUUCACGAACGGAGAGGAAAGGAAUGGGCACGGCGAUGCAGAUCUGGACGACUGCUGCAAGGUGACGCGUACGGCACUUCACGAACCGGCCGACGGUUGCAGCGACGGAUCUGGGUUAUGGCGAACUGCAAGGGUGAAGCACAAGCGACGGCGAGGACCUGGACGGCUCGGCGAUGCAGAUCUGGAUGACGAUUUGCUUUCCGAGGGAGGCACGACGGUUGUGAGCGGAGAGGCACGGUGGUUGUGAGCGGAUGGGCGCGGCGGUUUCGAUCCGAAGGAGAAAAGGAAGACGACCGGAAAGAAGAAGAAGAAACGACCGGCAGCUUGUGUGGCCGACUGGGUGAACGGAGAAGAGAGGGAUGUGCGGCUGCUAGGGUACGGGAAGGAGAAAGGGAUGGAGGACGCACGGGAGGAAGAAGGAAGGAAAAAUUUCUUUUUUCUUUUCUUUUAUUUAAAUAAUAAAAAUAAAACUAAAAUAUAAAUAAAUAUAUAUAUAAUAAAUUUCUUUUUCUUUUCUUUUAUUUAAACUAAAUAAUAAAACUAAAAUAUAAAUAUAUAUAUAUAAUUAUAUUAUCACAUUUUCAAAUCUUCUUUCCCCCUUCAACAUAUUUUCUUCAAAACAAUAAAUCUUGUACAAAUCGAAAAAAUCUCUUAAAAUAAAAUACCUUCGAGUUUGGGGCGUUACAUUCUUCCUCCUUAAGGCGAAAGUUCUAAUCCUAAAUAACUCUUGAUAACGAGUCCUCAUCUCUUCUUCUCGCUCCCAUGUCGCCUCUUCAAUUCGAUGAUUCCGCCACAAAACCUUUACUAAUGGAAUGCUUCUAUUACGAAGCAUCUUUACCUCUCUAGCGAAUCUCCACAGGUUGUUCUACAUAGCUCAAAUGCUCAUCAAUCUCCAAGGUUCAUAGUCCACGACAUGAGAUGUAUCGGCCACAUACUUCCUCAACAUCGAAACAUGGAAAACAUUAUGGACUGCAGAGAGUGAUGGUGGUAAUGCCAAGCGAUACGCCACAACACCAACCCUCUCUAAGAUCUCAAAUGGUCCAACAAAACGAGGACUUAACUUCCCUUUCUUCUCAAAACGCAUAACACCCUUCAUAGGUGCUACCUUCAAGAAUACCUUUUCUCCCACAUCAAACUUAAGGUCUUUUCGCCGUACAUCUGCAUAACUCUUUUGUCUACUCUGCGCUGUUUGCAUACGUGCUCUAAUCUUUUGAAUAGCCUCAUUAGUAGACCGAACUAAUUUAGGUCCCAUCAACCUCUGUUCACCAACCUCACUCCAACAAAUAGGGGUUCUACAACAUUUACCAUACAAAGCCUCAAAUGGUGCCAUACCGAUGGUAGCCUGGAAACUGUUGUUAUAAGCAAACUCCAUCAAAUGUAGAUGAGAGUCCCAACUACCUGGAAACUCUAGAACACAAGCUCGUAGCAUAUCCUCUAAAACUUGGUUCAAACGUUCAGUUUGACCAUCAGUUUGUGGAUGAAAGGCUGUACUGAAAUCUAAUCUCGUACCCAUAGCAGUCUGAAGUCCCUUCCAAAACUUGGAAGUAAACCGUGCAUCCCUGUCAGAAACAAUCGAUACAGGCACUCCAUGCAGUCUCACAACCUCAGUUAAAUACAACUGUGCCCACUUACUAGCAGUAUAAGUGGAUUUCCCUGGUACAAAAUGUGCGAUUUCGUAAGCCUGUCUACAACAACCAAAAUCACUGUGAAACCCUUCAGGGUCUUAGGCAGCCCUGAAAUAAAAUCCAUCGACACAUUCUCCCACUUCCACUCUGGCACACUUAAAGGUUGUAACAAACCUGCUGGUUUCUGUCUAGGUGCCUUAACCUGCUGACAUACUAGACACUUACUAACGAAUUCCGCCACUUCCCUUUUCAUAUUCCGCCACCAAUAAAAUCGUUUUAGAUCCUGAUACAUUUUCGUACUACCAGGAUGCAUGGAAAAUGAAGAAUUAUGGGCUUCAUCUAGUAAGUCAAUCUUAGCUGCACUGUUCGCUGGCACACACAAACGUCUCUCAAACAUCAAUCCACCAUCAGAGGAUAUGGAGAACUCAUCAGUCUGCUCUGUUCCAACAAGGCGACGUCUCUCCAUCAAAUAAGGAUCAUUACUCUGAGCAUCAACAAUCUUCUGCCUCAGAGUCAGUUGCACCGUUAAUUGAGCUAACUGUGAGGUGACUCUCCCCACAGAUACUACAAUCUCAGCUCUCUCCAAGUCUCGAUGUAAUGGUACCUGUCUAGUAAUGAGUGCUGCCGAAUGUGAUACUUUUCUACUAAGAGCAUCAGCCACCACAUUCGCCUUACCAGGAUGGUACAAUAUCUCACAGUCAUAAUCCUUUACCAACUCGAGCCACCUUCGCUGUCUCAUAUUCAACUCCUUCUGAGUGAAGAAGUACUUCAGGCUCUUAUGGUCAGUAAAGAUUUGUAUCUUUUCACCGUACAAAUAAUGUCUCCAUAUCUUCAAUGCAAAAACCACUGCUGCCAACUCCAAAUCAUGUGUGGGGUAGUUCUGCUCGUGACUCUUCAACUGACGAGAGGCAUAAGCAACCACCUUACCUUUCUGCAUCAAAACACAACCCAGUCCUUUCUUGGAAGCAUCACUGUAAAUCACAAAACUUCCGGAUCCAUCUGGUACUGUAAGGACCGGUGCAGUAACUAACCUUUGCUUAAGGUUCUGAAAACUAUCCUCGCAAGCUGGACUCCAAACAAACGGAGUUCCCUUCCUUGUCAACUGAGUCAAGGGAGUAGCCAAACGUGAAAAAUCCUCCACAAACCUCCGGUAGUACCCUGCUAAACCCAGAAAACUACGAACCUCACUAACUGUAGAGGGUCGAGACCAACUGGUAACCGCUUCUAUCUUUGCAGGGUCUACAGAAACUCCCUCACUGGAAACCACAUGACCAAGAAAAGCCACCUGCUUCAACCAAAAUUCGCACUUAGAGAAUUUAGCAUAAAGUUUAUUGACUCGAAGAGUCUCUAACACUUUAUGUAAGUGUUCCUCAUGUUCGGCCUCAGUCUUGGAAUAAACCAAAAUAUCAUCAAUGAAGACUAUCACAAAAGUGUCUAAGAAAUCCUUAAACACCCUGUUCAUCAAAUCCAUAAAUACUGCAGGUGCAUUAGUCAAACCAAAAGACAUUACCAUGAAUUCAUAAUGUCCGUACCUCGAACGAAAAGCAGUCUUAGGAAUAUCACGGUCUCUAAUCCUCAACUGGUGAUAACCUGACCGUAAGUCAAUCUUAGAGAACACCGUGGCUCCCUGUAACUGAUCGAACAAAUCAUCGAUUCUAGGUAAAGGAUAUCUGUUCUUGAUUGUUACUUUAUUCAACUCUCUAUAGUCAAUGCAAAGACGCAUCGACCCAUCCUUCUUCUUCACAAACAAUACUGGUGCACCCCAAGGCGACACACUAGGUCGAAUAAAGCCUUUGUCAAGCAACUCCUGUAACUGUACCUUCAGUUAUUUCAACUCGACAGGAGCCAUCCUAUAAGGGGCUCUAGAAAUGGGAGUAGUGUCUGGCUCCAACUCAAUGGCAAAAUCAAUCUCUCUAUGUGGCGGUAGUCCUGGAAGAUCUUCUGGAAACACAUUGGGUAUUCUCUUACCACAGGUUCUGAAGUUAAGGAAGUCUCAUCUUCCCUAGUAUCCACCACACUUGCCAAAAUACUCCAGGUACCCUGGUUGAGCAGUUUACUAGCUUUCAUAGCUGAGAUUACUUUAGGCAGUACUACUGUUCCUACCCCUUGAAUUUAAAGCUAGAUUCGGUAGGGGGACUGAACACAACCUCUUUACGAGAGCAAUCAAUACUAGCAUGAUUAGUAGCUAGCCAAUCCAUACCUAAAAUUACAUCAAAGUCACGCAUAUCUAAUACCAACAAGGUUACGUCCAGCACACGACCAGCUAUCUCAAUUUCACAUGCUUUAAUCUUUUCCUUAGACAACAUAAUUUCUCCAGACGGUGUAGACACUGACAAAACAUAAUCUAAGGGUUCCACCUCUAAGCAUGCAUGCGUCACAAAAAGCGAUGAAAUAAAUGAAUGAGAAGACCCCGAGUCAAACAAGGUCAAGGCAAAAUGCCCUAACACUGGUAAUGUACCUGUCACCACUGUGCAGGCCUUCUCUGCUUAUGAUCUAUUAGUGGCAAAGAUUGUACCCCGCUGUGGAGGUUUCGCUCCCUGACUGCUCUGUCCAGCCCCAGUAGAUCUCAAGGGACAUCGAUCAGCCAUGUGUCCCUCUUGCUUGCACUUAUAACAGACUCUCGUUCCCAUCAAACAACGACCCAGGUGGUGUUUCCCACACGUAUUGCAUAGUGGCUUCUCUCGAGUAGUGUCUCCUGCCCCGCCAGAACUCUGCUGGAAACUGCAAAAAGGAUCGCCUAAUCUCAAGUUCCUCUGAGGAAUUCCCACAGUUCUCUGCUCUGCUUUCCUCUUUUGACCAGACGACGAUCCCUUAUCAAAACUCCUUGCCCGAAUUUCAUCCUUCCCAAUGCUCAUAUCCACUGCCAGGCGCAGCGCUUCAGCCUGGGUAGUGGGCUUUAGUGCUCGCACAAAGCCUCUAAUCUCAUCUCUCAAUCCUUUGACGAACCUAUCAGCUCUAGCCUGCUCAUUACCAACAAGUUCAGGGGCAAAACGCGACAGCAUAUCAAACUCCUGGUCGUACUCCUCGACUGUCAUAUGUCCUUGCUUCAAUUCCAAGAAUUCCUGGCUUUUGGCGUCUCUAAGGUUAGCCGAGAAAAACUUGGUAUAGAAGCAGUCUUUAAACUGAUCCCAGGUAAUCUGUCUCACAUCUCCACCUAGCAUACGCAUCGUAGUUCUCCACCAGAUAAUACCUCUGUCCCUCAGAAGAAAAGCAGCACACUGAACUCUAUGCUCCUCUGGACAUCUCAUGUAAUUAAAUAUGGUUUCCACAGAGGACAACCACAACUCAGCUUUAGUAGGAUCCUCCAGUGACCCAUCAAACGUCUGAGGGUCAUAUUUCCUAAAGUCCCUCAAAUGUUUCGCCUCAGCAGAAAGUUGGUUCGGUAAUGUCUGCGGCUGUUGUGCAGCCAAUCCUUGCGCAGGAGGGGCUGCUGGUGCAGGUGGAGCUGCUGGUACAGGGGGAACCACAGGUGCAGGUGGAACUGCAGGUGCCUGCUGGUUCUGAGCUAUAGCCGUCAUAAGCUCCGUGAACCUCUGCUCCAUGUGAGCAGACAGUGCAGCAAACUCAACAUGAGUCACGGGUGCAGUAGGAAUUCGCUAUUCAGCUUGACCCUCAGUAGGUUGAUUACGACCUGCUCCUCUACCCCAGCCUCUACGACCUCUCUACGUACACCUCUCUUUGGCGGCAUAAUUCCUAUUAUCCACCAACAACACUCUUUAAAAAGUCUUAAUCAUAAGCAUAAGAGUCUUUAUCGUCAUGCAAUCUAGUUUAAUUUAGGCAAACUCAUGCAAAUAAACCAUACAUAUAAGCAUAAAGAUACCUGACGAGAGACGAAGGGUCGCGUUAGCCAUAGGGACAUAAAACAUAGACUUACAUCGUAAGUCAGUCUACAGAACCUAAAACUUAGGCUCUGAUACCAACUGUAACGACCCAACUUUUCUAGGUAAGUCGAGGUCGUUAAUUUUUGACAAAAGACUUUGGUUGAUACAAAAUGAAAUGUAAGCCAAUUGAAAAACAACUUUAAGUCAGGCCUGAUUUUCAAAUAUUCCAAAAACUUAAAAAAAGUAUUUUACAAAUAAAAGUUUGUAAGCUAAGUUUCAAUACAACGUCUUAAACCUAAAAAAAAACAAUAAGCGGAAGCAAAAUAACACAUUUCCUAUGGCAAUCACGCUUCCUUCCUGCCCCUCGCCGGUUUGCCGCCUUUAUUACCUUUGCUGAAAAUUAAACAUAAGAAGGGUGAGUAUAAAAAUACCCAGUAAGAGACCCUCUACUGGUCCCGUCAGGGAAAAAUAAAUUGUUAACAUUCUAUUGGGACACCCUGUACAGUCGCAGUCUUGUGAUCCCGUAGGAUGCACAUUUCAGUCUAACGCCUCGAGGGACGUACAUUUCAGUGUAGUGUUCUGCAGAAACACAUAUCAGUCUAAUGCUCCCGAAGGUGCAGAAUAAUUGGUGAUCCCGUGGGACACCUACAAAGCACACAUCCCAAUAAAAGCUAACAAUUUUUCCCCUCAAUCCAUUCGUACCAUCUUUCAGUUACUUCAAAAUAUAAAGUUCUUUCACUCAACGUUCUAACAGUCAACUUAUCUCACUUUAGCCCAAUGUCUGUCAGUAACAUACUAAUACGUCAGUCAAUCAAACUAUAUAGUCAUAACGCCUCUCAGUUCACCAGCACACAGUCAUACUUUAGUAUAACGUACACCCAGUCUAAACGACAAUCACAAGUUCACAUCCGCAUCUCAUACAAACACAAUCUACAAUUGUCGUCCUGUCUACAUCCACACACAUAUAUAUAUAUUCCAAGACAAUCACAAUAUGCAUUCAACAUCAAGUCUACUUCAAUCCAUGUGUA
Molecule: long non-coding RNA, 7968 nt
Filed under: Cucumis sativus (cucumber)
Lineage: Eukaryota; Viridiplantae; Streptophyta; Magnoliopsida; Cucurbitales; Cucurbitaceae
Description: long non-coding RNA (CSAT_LNC001539)
Source: RNAcentral